RNAcentral lists this transfer RNA (71 nucleotides) under Bipes canaliculatus. RNAcentral's name for it is "tRNA-Leu". The record is from RNAcentral. Lineage: Eukaryota; Metazoa; Chordata; Lepidosauria; Squamata; Bipedidae.
ACUUUUAAAGGAAAAUAGCAAUCCGCUGGCUUUAGGCGCCAAGCCCCUUGGUGCAAGUCCAAGUAAAAGUA